CAGUCGCCGCGGUAAUACGAGGGGGGCAAGCGUUGCUCGGAAUUAUUGGGCGUAAAGGGUGCGUAGGCGGUUUGGCAAGUUUGGUGUGAAAUCUUCGGGCUCAACUCGAAGUCUGCAUCGAAAACUGCCGGGCUUGAGUAUGGGAGAGGUGAGUGGAAUUUCCGGUGUAGCGGUGAAAUGCGUAGAUAUCGGAAGGAACACCUGUGGCGAAAGCGGCUCACUGGACCAUAACUGACGCUGAUGCACGAAAGCUAGGGGAGCAAGCAGGAUUAGAUACCCCAGUAGUCCCUGUCUCUUAUAC
This 301-nucleotide ribosomal RNA is filed under the name uncultured bacterium. Its description in RNAcentral is "partial 16S ribosomal RNA". It matches the Rfam family "Bacterial small subunit ribosomal RNA", at positions 509 to 807 of the family's 1533-position model. The record is from RNAcentral.